RNAcentral lists this ribosomal RNA (1206 nucleotides) under Triticum aestivum (bread wheat). Its description in RNAcentral is "partial small subunit ribosomal RNA". Lineage: Eukaryota; Viridiplantae; Streptophyta; Magnoliopsida; Poales; Poaceae. The record is from RNAcentral.
AUGCUCACUCUAACCGCAGCGACAAGGAGUUUAUUUGCUAAACCUCAGAGAGAAUCUGCUGUCGCAGAGCUGCAACUUGAGAUCUACUUGAUCGACACUUUCUUAUGCGAUAAUAUUGGCCCACUGGUAUCUGACGCAGUCGACCGUGGUCUGCUGAAAGAUUUAGACCUUGCCAUUCUCGACGAGAAGGGAACUUCUGGACGUUCUCCGUCAGAUGAGAUAAAGCGUGCUCAGGAUAUUGAUGGAUUUUUCUGUGCCUACCCUAGUGUCCUCCAUUGUCUCACGAGCCUCUCUCUCUAUGGUGUGAGUUUUCUCCAAUUGGACAUCCAUCAUAUCCUGUUUGACUGCUGUAACCAGCUGAAGCAUUUAUAUCUCUAUUCUUGUGAUGUUGGUCCUUUGUGGAAGAUAGAUGCACCAAAUUCAAAACUUCGUGUUCUGGUGCUCUACAUGUGUUGCUUCGAGGGAAUUGAGUUGAUAUCCCUUCCAAAACUGGAGAAACUCAGUGUGCUUGGUUGGGUAUCUCACUCUGUCCCCUUGUCUUUUGGUUUUGUCCCAUCCCUUGAGGAAUUGGACCUAGCACAAAUUCUGCUCCGUCGUCAGCAUUUAUAUAAAUUAAGUGACUUUCUCCAUGGAGCCACAGGCAUACACACUCUCACAUUGGAUUCCAAAGGAAGCGCGAUUUGGCUACAACCUGAAAUAAAACAACUCACCUCCGCAUUCAGAAAGCUAAGGAAGCUGCUCAUACUAGGUGUUUUUGUUGAAUUUGACCUUCUAUGGACUACAACUUUUCUUGAGGCUGCUCCUUCCAUUGAAAUGUUGCAUAUUGAGGUAUGUGAGCAUGCGUGCGAGUUGGGUGACGAGAACGACGAAUCUGGGAUAUUCGCUGAAAGAAUUAAUCCUCUGUGGGAGCUAGACUUCCAUGCCUCGAAGAACAUGCUAUUGAGAGAGCUCCACAUCGCCCACUUUAGGCCCCUAGAGCAGCAGCUGACAUUUAUUAGAGCAAUCCUGGAGCGAGCUCCCAAUCUUCAAACUGUGAUGCUAAACAAAGAUGGCGAGAUAUGCAACGAAUGUGAUGCCAUGGCCCUCGAUGUGCCACCCAGUGCAUCAGCUCGGCCUGCAUUUCCGAGGACCAACGAGGAGCAAGACUCGGUGGUCAGGUGGGUCAUAGAUGGCACCUUCUUCUCAGGUCAGAUAUAUUUUCGGUGA